Molecule: ribosomal RNA, 690 nt
Filed under: Triticum aestivum (bread wheat)
Lineage: Eukaryota; Viridiplantae; Streptophyta; Magnoliopsida; Poales; Poaceae
Description: partial small subunit ribosomal RNA
Source: RNAcentral
GAUGAACUCAUAUAUGUUUAUUGUUUGAACUUUGUAAGGAUGGUUUGGCUUCUCGACGAUGCCUAUGGCACACAACACCGGGCCUACAUGAUGCGCGAGAAGGAGAUGAAGCUUGAACCUCUGAAGAUUCGGUAUCAUGGGGUCUCUGGUCCUGCCAUGCCCUACGAUGAGUGGUACACACCCUACAUCCAGCAGGCAGGACUCCUCCCGUGGAUUCAGUUGGUCAGCCGGUCCACGCCGAACCUCAAAGCUCCACUGGUGUCCUCUAUUGUUGAUCGGUGGAGGCCGGAGACGCACAGUUUCUAUCUUCGAACUGGGGAGAUGACCAUGACGCUCGAGGAUGUCCCCUUGAUCACCGGUCUUCCUAUCGAUGGGAGGCCUCUUUGUAUGAGCACCGAUUCUGAUGGGUGGUGCCAGCAGAUGACUGCUCUUAUCGGUAAGGCUCCUACCGAGGCUAAGGCUAAUGUAGAGGAGGGAGAAGAGAAGAAGAACAAGAAGAAAAGGAAAGCAGCCGGAGCUGCUUUCACAUGGAUUCAAAGGAACUUUGCGCAUUGCCCUGGGGAUGCCACUGAUGAUGUGAUCCAGACACAUGCUCGUGUGUAUAUGUGGUACGUUGUCUCGGGGACUUUGUUUCCUGACUCCACAGGCAAGAACGCUCCAUGGAUGUGGCUGAAGGCGUUGACCGUCUUC